Molecule: ribosomal RNA, 253 nt
Filed under: uncultured bacterium
Lineage: Bacteria
Description: partial 16S ribosomal RNA
Rfam family: Bacterial small subunit ribosomal RNA
Source: RNAcentral
UACGAAGGGGGCGAGCGUUGUUCGGAAUUACUGGGCUUAAAGCGUGCGUAGGCGGAUGUGUAAGUCAGGAGUGAAAUCCCGGGGCCUAACCCCGGAACUGCUCUUGAGACUGCACGUCUGGAAUUCGGUAGAGGUCAGUGGAACUCCCAGUGUAGAGGUGAAAUUCGCAGAUAUUGGGAAGAACACCGGUGGCGAAGGCGACUGACUGGGCCGAUAUUGACGCUGAGGCACGAAAGCGUGGGUAGCAAACAGG